GUAGGGUGCAAGCGUUAAUCGGAAUUACUGGGCGUAAAGCGUGCGCAGGCGGUUGUGCAAGACAGAUGUGAAAUCCCCGGGCUUAACCUGGGAACUGCAUUUGUGACUGCACGGCUGGAGUACGGUAGAGGGAGAUGGAAUUCCGCGUGUAGCAGUGAAAUGCGUAGAUAUGCGGAGGAACACCGAUGGCGAAGGCAAUCUCCUGGACCUGUACUGACGCUCAUGCACGAAAGCGUGGGGAGCAAACAGGAUUAGAUACCCUGGUAGUCCACGCCCUAAACGAUGUCAACUGGUUGUUGGACGGCUUGCUGUUCAGUAACGAAGCUAACGCGUGAAGUUGACCGCCUGGGGAGUACGGCCGCAAGGUUGAA
Molecule: ribosomal RNA, 371 nt
Filed under: uncultured bacterium
Lineage: Bacteria
Description: bacterial SSU rRNA
Rfam family: Bacterial small subunit ribosomal RNA
Source: RNAcentral